CAAAGUGUAGCUUAUACUAAAGCACCCGGCUUACACCCAGGAGAUACCACACAACAGUGGCCGCUUUGA
This 69-nucleotide transfer RNA is filed under the name Rousettus amplexicaudatus (Geoffroy's rousette). Its description in RNAcentral is "tRNA-Val". The record is from RNAcentral. Lineage: Eukaryota; Metazoa; Chordata; Mammalia; Chiroptera; Pteropodidae.